AUAAGUAGGGGGCAAGCGUUAUCCGGAUUUACUGGGUGUAAAGGCAGCGUAGACGGCAAAGCAAGUCUGAAGUGAAAGCCCCGGGCUCAACCCGGGACUUGCUUUGGAAACUGUUUAGCUGGAGUGAAGGAGCGGUAAGCGGACUUACUAGUGUAGCGGUGACAUGCGUAGAUAUUAGGAAGAACACCAGUGGCGAAGGCGGCCUGCUGGACGACAACUGACGCUGAGGCGCGAAAGCGUGGGGAGCAAACAGGAUUAGAUACCCUGGUAGUCCACGCUGUAAACGAUGAAUACUAGGUGUGGGGGGACUGACCCCCUCCGUGCCGCAGUUAACACAAUAAGUAUUCCACCUGGGGAGUACGAUCGCAAGAUUGAAACUCAAAGGAAUUGACGGGG
Molecule: ribosomal RNA, 396 nt
Filed under: uncultured bacterium
Lineage: Bacteria
Description: partial 16S ribosomal RNA
Rfam family: Bacterial small subunit ribosomal RNA
Source: RNAcentral